Molecule: ribosomal RNA, 253 nt
Filed under: uncultured bacterium
Lineage: Bacteria
Description: partial 16S ribosomal RNA
Rfam family: Bacterial small subunit ribosomal RNA
Source: RNAcentral
UACAGAGGCCUCGAGCGUUAGGCGGAAUCACUGGGCUUAAAGCGUGUGUAGGCGGAUGUCUAAGUACCUUGUGAAAUCCCAUGGCUUAACCAUGGAACUGCUCGGUAUACUGGAUGUCUUGGGCCACUUAGGGGUCACUGGAACAAAUGGUGGAGCGGUGAAAUGCGUAGAUAUCAUUUGGAACGCCAAAGGUGAAAACAGGUGACUGGGAGUGUGCCGACGCUGAGACACGAAAGCCAGGGGAGCAAACGGG